ACGGAGGGUGCAAGCGUUACCCGGAAUCACUGGGCGUAAAGGGCGUGUAGGCGGUUUGAUAAGUCUGGCUUAAAAACUCGAAGCUCAACUUCGAAUCUGGGUUGGAUACUGUCAGACUAGACGGCUGGAGGGGAGAGUGGAAUUCUCGGUGUAGCGGUGAAAUGCAAAGAUACCGAGAGGAACACCAGUAGCGAAGGCGGCUCUCUGGACAGUACGUGACGCUGAGGCGCGAAAGUGUGGGGAGCAAACCG
RNAcentral lists this ribosomal RNA (251 nucleotides) under uncultured prokaryote. Its description in RNAcentral is "partial 16S rRNA". It matches the Rfam family "Bacterial small subunit ribosomal RNA", at positions 525 to 775 of the family's 1533-position model. The record is from RNAcentral.